Adelges cooleyi (spruce gall adelgid) is the source of this 1363-nucleotide long non-coding RNA. RefSeq lists it as uncharacterized. Lineage: Eukaryota; Metazoa; Arthropoda; Insecta; Hemiptera; Adelgidae. The transcript is spliced from 6 exons. The record is from RefSeq and is a predicted model, not a curated record.
UAAGAAAACCAUUUUCAUGAGUUAGGUAUAUUCCCUUGUGCCAUUCAUAUUUCAUGUGGCAGAUAAAAAUAUUAAAUUUAACAUCAUGUUAUAUUAUAUAAGAACCACGGAUUAACUAAACGUCAAAACUGUGUAUUUUAUUCGUUUAACACGUGGGUAGGUUAUACGUCAACAUAUUACACUGUCCACCUUUAUAAAAAUUGUUUUAUAGCUUGCAAUAAACUACAAUAUAAUAACGAAACGAACAAAAUCCACACGAACGCGAUUAAUCAAAUCGACAAAAUAAUGUCGAACGACGUAGCACCUCCAACUACGUCACCGUCGCCAAAGGAAUCGUCUGUAGACUUGGAAUACGUUGACCUCGACUAUGUAACCUUGGCUGUCUACAGUUUUCUAUCGUUUAUUUAUGGAAAUUACCGAAUCCAAUUUCGACAUCAACAAAGGACUAAACCAAGAAUAUGCCGCACAAGUAGUUUGUGUUCAAACCCAAUACAUAGAUCGUUUCAGAUUUUUUGAGAACACAACGACCAAGUUGUAAGUGACGACGUUGACCGAAUUUGUGUGCUGUUUAAAACAUACAAAAAUUCCAAGUACUCCUCGACAUGUACACUUCGCUUCAUGAGCUGCCUGAUUUUACGUUUGGUUGUUUUUGUGUCGAUCAAUUACUUUUGCCUACUAUUCAAACGUAAUUUGUGUGAUAUUUAUCAAUGCAAAAAUUCAUUGAUAAGGAACAAAUUUACCGUGUAGACCAUUUACCGAUAGUUUUUAUGGCUACCAGACAAGAUGACAUAAUUAAAGCAUCUGUGGCAACAAGUGUUUCUGUCACUAUAAUCUGUUUGACGAAAGACAAAGGCGAUGUUAUUUAAGCGCUAGCUAGUUUAAAUAUUUAGUUGACCUAAACGAAGACAACAUACCACCAGAAGUCGAAGAACAAAGGCAGACUAGUAGAAUGAAGAAAGCAAAUUUUGGUGAUUUAGUGGCGCAAUUGGAUGAUGUACUGUUCAAAGUAUUACUGUCAAUUAGAAUAUUAACAGCAUCGGCCACAAGAAAUACUUUGAAAUUCACCUAACCUGAAUUUUACCACCAAGUGGCCAUGAUUUACGUAUUUUGACAAUAAGUAGCUUUAUCUGUUGUGUGCUUAAAUGACUUAGACUAGUCUGAUUAAAGUUUGAAUAAUUUAUUACAAUAAUAGUAAGGUAUUAAAAUAAGUUACACGUUAAAGACUACAAUAAUUUAUUUUAAUGUUUUGCCAUCUAAUAAGAUACAGAAUUGUAUUCUUCCAUAAUUCGCUAUACUUGUGUUGUAACACUAAUUAUCACUUGUGUCCAGGUAACGUUCAAUAAACUGUUAUUAUUUUAUUGCU